Molecule: ribosomal RNA, 667 nt
Filed under: Vibrio cyclitrophicus
Lineage: Bacteria; Pseudomonadati; Pseudomonadota; Gammaproteobacteria; Vibrionales; Vibrionaceae
Description: bacterial SSU rRNA
Rfam family: Bacterial small subunit ribosomal RNA
Source: RNAcentral
AAAUUGAAGAGUUUGAUCAUGGCUCAGAUUGAACGCUGGCGGCAGGCCUAACACAUGCAAGUCGAGCGGAAACGACACUAACAAUCCUUCGGGUGCGUUAAUGGGCGUCGAGCGGCGGACGGGUGAGUAAUGCCUAGGAAAUUGCCUUGAUGUGGGGGAUAACCAUUGGAAACGAUGGCUAAUACCGCAUGAUGCCUACGGGCCAAAGAGGGGGACCUUCGGGCCUCUCGCGUCAAGAUAUGCCUAGGUGGGAUUAGCUAGUUGGUGAGGUAAUGGCUCACCAAGGCGACGAUCCCUAGCUGGUCUGAGAGGAUGAUCAGCCACACUGGAACUGAGACACGGUCCAGACUCCUACGGGAGGCAGCAGUGGGGAAUAUUGCACAAUGGGCGAAAGCCUGAUGCAGCCAUGCCGCGUGUAUGAAGAAGGCCUUCGGGUUGUAAAGUACUUUCAGUUGUGAGGAAGGGUGUGUAGUUAAUAGCUGCGCAUCUUGACGUUAGCAACAGAAGAAGCACCGGCUAACUCCGUGCCAGCAGCCGCGGUAAUACGGAGGGUGCGAGCGUUAAUCGGAAUUACUGGGCGUAAAGCGCAUGCAGGUGGUUCAUUAAGUCAGAUGUGAAAGCCCGGGGCUCAACCUCGGAACUGCAUUUGAAACUGGUGAACUAGAGU